AUGGCAGUGACGAUUUGCAAAUAUUCAAGCUCAACAGACCUAAUCAAAGAUUUUCUCUCCGGAGUUGAUUUGUAUGCCGAUUACCCCGCUGAACCGAGCCAUCUGAUACCUGAUUUUGUUUUUCUGUGGUUCAUUGUUCUUUUCUCUCAAUUCUCAAUGUAUCUUUUGUGUUUGAUUUUGUUUGUUUCUUUUGGGGGAUGUAGUUGCGAUGAGGAUAAUAAGCUCCCUCUUCUGAAAGCAUUGACGACAUCGCUGGCAGAAUCGAACCAAUUAAAUAUUGCCACCACUGAGCAACUCUGUAUCGUCGAACAAUCUCUCUUGGAUGUUAUUGAUCGUUUGCUUCUUCUUACCUUCCAGUUACAUUAUCUGUUUGGAUUGUUAGGAGUUAUUGAUGCAUAG
RNAcentral lists this ribosomal RNA (399 nucleotides) under Triticum aestivum (bread wheat). Its description in RNAcentral is "partial small subunit ribosomal RNA". The stretch from base 199 to 294 matches the Rfam family "Small nucleolar RNA R30/Z108". Lineage: Eukaryota; Viridiplantae; Streptophyta; Magnoliopsida; Poales; Poaceae. The record is from RNAcentral.